RNAcentral lists this long non-coding RNA (913 nucleotides) under Brassica napus (rape). Its description in RNAcentral is "long non-coding RNA (BNAP_LNC000376)". Lineage: Eukaryota; Viridiplantae; Streptophyta; Magnoliopsida; Brassicales; Brassicaceae. The record is from RNAcentral.
CUUGUGGUAUUUUGAUAAAAUUUCUAUAUCCUAUUGGUUAGUUAAAAACUUAAGACAUUAUAAUUAUGUUUACUAAUAGCCAAAUUUUAUAUACCUCAAAUCAUAUUUGUCUUUAAUUUGUGGAGGUUCCAACCAGAAAUUUAAAGAAAAUAGCAACUAUAUACAUAAGACUUGCAUUAAAAAAAAGACCUGGUUACAUAUAUGUACUUUCAACAUGCUACAAACAGACACGCACACAAAUGUAACAUUAUAUUACAACCUAACUCUCAAAGAGAGUAAGUUUGAGCCGGUCUGCACUCACUCACUCAUACCAUACUUAAUAAACAAAGAUUGCAACCCAACUCCGACAACUUUUCCCGUAAUUCUAACUUCAUCCCUUAACAACAAAACCUGGAACAGUGAUCUUAUUUAUCGCCUUUAGUUUUGGUUAUGGUUUAAGCAAGAGACGAGUAACGGAAACGUUGAGCUGACUCUAUAGUUGCGGGCAAAACUGCUUGUUUUACAAGGACAGAGUUCUUUGGAUAUUGAUAGACCAAAAAAGUUGCGUUUGUAGAAGAUGUUAUGGACUCUCUAACGGUAUGGACUUGUGGGCCGUGGUAGACAUAUGAACUAUUAUGGAUAUUGGCAGAACAAGAGAGAUUAGGGUUUGAAGUGGAAGUGUUUGUGUUGAGAUUUUCCUUUCGAGAAAAUCCCAUGGUGCGUAGUAGAAAGAGAUGAUGAAAGAAGAGAGAUGAAGAAUGUGUUGAGUUUGUUGUCUUGGGUGGUUAGAUAGUAACAAACUCGGUGGCUUUUAUAGAGAGAGCCCAGAGGGUAAAGUUGUAUACGUGGAGGUCACAUUUAACAGACAAAUAUCAUAAUUUUAUUUAUUUCCUUGGUAAGUACUUUGUCAUAAAUUUCCACUAUUAGUGUUCAC